UUGGCUGACUGCAUUUCUCAGUGUUAAUCACAUAUUUGCUUUUAACAUCUCUUGUAUUGUCGCCUUUGUUGUUACUUAACUCUUAUUGCUUGCUUUUUUGUUGUUGUUGUUAUACAUACUUUGUCAGGAGGAUGGUGAUAGAAUUCUUUGGAGUUCCUCCUGUAACUAGCUCCCUGCCUUUCUUAUAUGUACUCAAGAGUGUUUUGCUUGAGAUUCAUAGUGCCAUAAAUUUUGAAAGCACUGUGUAGUCUAUAAACCUUGGGGGGUUUUCCUAGAGGUAAUUUUUCCCUUACUUGUGCAGUUAGUUGUUUAUUGUGGACUUUAACAAUUAAUAAUGACAAAUUAAAAUAAUAGUUUAAGAUAUGAUUUUAUCCAUAUUCUUUUGAUAAUUUGCAAAUUGGGCUCCCUCGAGCACUCAGGACCUGCCUCUACUACCACCCACUCAUCACCCUGCACUGCUCUCAUCUCUGUGUCCUCCACUGGGAAGUUAGCUCUGCAAGGAUAGCGGCAGUGUUUUUUGAUAUUGGUGCCGCAACACCUAGCACAAUGCCUGUUUCCAAGUGUUUAUGGGAAUUGACCUCCUUUUAAAGUAUCCUAAGUUUCCUAAAAGAUGGUUGAUGCCUACCUGAGUUGAACAGGGUGGGCAAGUUCAAUAUUUCCAAAUGCUCAGGAAAAAAAUCAAGUAUUUGUGAACAGCUCUACCACAGAGGCAAGGCGUGGAAAGGUUUUUGAAAAUUAUUAAUAGGAGCCAGUGGGAAAAUGUGAGACAAUACUUACUAUUUUUGUCAGCCUGAGAGCAGAUCUGAAGUCUAAGGUGAAGUCAGUUUUUAAUUGUUUCUAUUUAAUGAUAGUUAAAUGUUCACAACUUAUUUUGUUUUAGAUUUGUGACUUGAAGAUACUUCAUUAUCUUUAUUUGGUAAGUUAGUGAUUACUCCAAAUUUGACUGACUUGGCUACAUGUUAAAGAUAUUUGUGGAGUUUUAACCCAACAUAUUUUGUUUGUUUGAAUAUGAUAAAGGAAUGAGACCAAUAUCCUUGAUUCAGUUUAAGGAGGGAUUAAUAUCAUGAUAUGUGUGAUGGCUUUACCGUAUUUUUAAAUCAGUUUAGACAUUUUUAAGUACCCUUUUGACUCCUUCUUAAAAUUAGUUCUAUUUUAUGGUAUCACAUAGUGUAUAAGAACAAUAAGUCAAACAAUAUUUACAAAUUUUCUGAUUUGUUUAUGCAUUAUAAUAAAAGGAAAGAAAAAGAAAGAGUUAAUGAGUAAAUUCAGGACAUAUGUGAUAGAAAUCAGACUCACCCAUGGGACAGUUUAGUGACAAAAUCUAGAAUAGUAAGCAUUAACUGCUAGAAAAUAACAGAGAAGAACUAAAUUAUUAUAUUAUGAAUGGGGAACCAAGACCAGUGAAAUUCAUUUUUGAAACUACUUUAGCCAAAAAGGUGCGAAAGAUCUUUUUUGAAAAAGAAAAAAAAAUAGUAUUGGAAAAAUUGUACAUGCAGUUUUUUAUGCCCACUAGAAAUUUAAAAAUAAUUUAUAGAUAUAUUUGGAUAAGAAAAAAAAAUGAAGCUUCCCACUUCCCAAUGGAAAAAACAUUUAGGACAAACCAUGCAUCAGCAAAAUCUUUUCUCAGAAUCUUUCUGUAUUCUUAUUCUUUCUUUCUCCAUUUUCACAUCUGUAACCAAAGCACAGAAAUACUUAAAUGUUCUUAGCUUAUUUUGUUCUUAGUUAAAUUAGUGUUAGCAUUUGUUAAUCUGAUACCCACUCUAGUGUUUUCUCUCAUUUAAAUCUUGCUCUUUUGCAAAUGGGAAGAUCAAUUGGGAGAUAUGGCUUCUUUAUAGAAUGAAGGACACUUCAGCUUGUUUCCAAAGAUGGGCAGCUCAGAACUGAUAAAAGAAGGCUUGGUUGGAGGUAAUGAAAGGACUGAGUGGUCUAGAUUUGGUUGUGCAGGAAGAUCUGAGAAGGGAAAGUUGCAGAGAUUUCUUCGUCAGUAGACGGGGGGAAGGCUUGGGUAGUUGCAUUCGUUAGAGUUUAGUCACAGAAGCGGAACUGCUACGGUGUUAUGGAAUUAAGCGUUUAUGAAAGGAGGAAGGCCUUACAGAGUUGUGGGGGAAACUCAGAAAUCAGAGUCUGUAAGGGGCAGUUGGGAGAUCAGAGAAGUCCCUAAUCAGCCUCCCUGAAGCUGGGGUGUAGUAGGCAAGUCAGAGAAGGUGAAUUGCCUCUGAGGAGCGGGUGAAUCUGAGGAACCAGUUAUGCCCAGCUGCUGGAGUGGGACCACGCAGUAGAGCUGGUGGAAAGUGUAUGGAAAGCUGCUACCUCUUCUGUGGUCUUCAUUCGAGCUUUUGGUGGUAGACCUGAGGUUGCUGUUUGGUUGGCAGGGUUGGCAAUCAGGAAGAAGAGCUACACACAGUAUGGGGGAGAGCAGAGACAUGGUGAAAUCCUCUGGCAUCUUCAGUUUGACUAACUCUAACCUGAAAUCAUAUGGGAAGAGGAUUCUGGGAAUUGUAGUUUGAGCUUAGCCCAGCUGCGCUUAACCUAGCUGCCAAAGCAGGUGAGAGUGGGAGUGGGGAACUAAGUGGGGAUGUGAUAGUGUGGGAGUCCACAGUGGUAUUUUAUAAAUCUAGGUUCAUUUUACUGUGAGAGAGCAAGUUCUUUACAUUCUACGAGCCUUUUUCUUCCUCUGUGAAAUGGGAGAUAAUCUUUACUUUAUGUGAUUAUUGUAAGGAUUAAGGGAAAUGUUUGCAAAGCAUUUAGCAGAGUGUCAGCACAAUGCAAACUAUUAUAAAGAGUAGCUUCUAUUAAUAGUAGUAGUUGUGGUAGUGAUAGAAGGGAUUGAGAAAUAUUUCGAAAUGAGAGGGGAGGAGUAGAGAAGAUGAAUGGGAGUAAGAAUGACAUGGAAGACAUAGUUCUUAUAUUUGAGAAUGUUAUAUUCUGGUGACAGAGAACACAUGUAAACAUAUAGAAUGUUUAGGAAGCUGUUAAGUAGGGCAGUAUCCUUUAAGAAAAUAACUGCUGUGCUGAGUGUAGAGACCGCAAGUGCUGUCAUUCCAGUGUAGUUAAGGUUAAGUGGUAGUGUAUGUGAAAUUCCUGGUACACUGAGAGUCCACAGAGGUUAAUUAUUUUCCACUUCGUUUCAUUUAUAGAAGGAAGGAUGGCCAGGUGAGGGGGAUGGGAAGGCUUAAGCUGGGUCCUUCAAAGAUGGUUUAGACAAGUAGAAAAGCGGAAGGAAGCAUUUCAGACAAUAGUAGGAGGCAUCAACAAGGCAUGUGGUGCUUCAUGAACACAACUGUAUACCUGUUGACUCCUGCUCUUUGCUUUUGUAAUCUAUUUGUAGUUUCUAAAGAUUGUGUUUGUUCCUGCUUGGACUGGUUGCCCACCUCUGGACUAUCAUUUAUGGUGUGGGACAACACUGAGCUAAUUUGAUAUCAGUUAGUAAUUAAGUGGGUGGUUGGAGGUGUGGUGGUAGAAGAGACAAGUUUCCAGAAGAAGGCCACUAUGGAUGAAUCACUCCUUUUGUUAUAGUCGUUCAGUAUUAUAAUUCUACCUUGUUCUUUUCAGGACAUUAUUAAGCAUUUUAUUCUUUUUAUACAAUUCGUAUUUAUUUAACUUCACCACGUUUACCAAUUUCUUGUUAGCUUUUGUUCUGAAAUCACGUUCCUUCUUCAUGAAGUAUAUCCUUCAGAAGUUCCUUGACUAAAGGUCUGUUGGUGGUAAAUUAGGAUUUUUGUUUGUUGAAAAUAUUUAGCCCUUUUUUUUUUUUUUAAAUGGCUGCACUUGUAGCAUAUGGAAGUUCCCAGGCCAGAGACUGAAUUCAGGCUGCAGCUGUGACCCACACCACAGCUGCAGCAAUGCUGGAUUCUUUAACCCACUGUGCCAGGCCAAAGAUUGAACCCAUGCCUUUUUAGCAAACUGAACUGCUGCAGAUGGAUUCUUAACCCGCUGCACCAGAGCAGGAACUCCUAGCUCUUGUUCUUGAUUGAUGUUUUAGUUGUGAAUGAAAAUCUGGAUUAGCACUUACUUCCCUCUAAGCAUUGUUUUUUUUUUUUUUUUUCCUUUGGCCACACCUGUGGCAUGUGGAGGUUCACAGGCCAGGGACUGAACCCAUGCCACAGCAGUGACCUGAGCCACUGCAGUGACAAUGCCGAAUCCUUAACCUACUGCACCACAAGUGAACUCCCUCCUCAGCAAUUUUAAGAUGUUAUUCCAUUCUGUUUUCUGCCAUAUAAUCAGACCUAAAAGAUUGUACCGGAUGUUUUAUUAUAGUAAUAUUUUAGUUUUGUUGUUAGUAUAAAAUUGUCUUUUGGAUGGAGGUAUUCACAGUAGCUUUUCUUUUUAUUUCUGUUUUUUUUUGCCUUUUUUAGGGCUGCACCCACAGCAUAUGGAGGUUCCCAGGCUAGGGGUCGAAUUGGAAGAGUUGCAGCUGCCAGCCUGUACCAAGCCAUAGCAACGUAGGAUCUGAGCCUCAUCUUCAUCCUACAGCUUGUGGCAAAGACAGGUCUUUAACCCACUGAGUGAAGCCAGGGAUGGAACCUGCAUCCUCAUGGAUAUUAGAGGGGUUUGUUAUACUGAGCCACAACAGGAACUCCCAUCUAUUUUAAUUUUUGUAUUCACUGAAUGAUUAAUGAAGAUCUUAGGAAUGUCAAAGGGAUCAGUAAAAUAAGCCUUUAAUAAAUUUCUUUUAGUUGUUUGUGUGUAUAAUUAUUACUAAAAUAUUUGAUUACCUUUUCUGUAUCACCACUGAAGAUAAAUAAAUUAAUUAUUGUUCCUGUAAUCAUAAUGCUCCAUUCUGGUCAGGGGAGACAGACAUAUUAGGGUGACCUCAUAAUUUGUUAUACAGACUGGGCUGCUUUUGAAAGUGAGAAGAAGCUGUUUUAAUAAUUAUCUUGGGAGUUCCAUCGUGGCUCAGUGGAAACAAAUCUGACUAGUAUCCAUGAGGACGCAGGUUUGAUCCCUGGCCUAGCUCAAUUGGUUAAGGAUCCAGAGUUGCCCUGAGCUGUGGUAUAGGUCAUAGAUGUGGCUUGGAUCUGGCGUUGCUGUGGCUGUGGUGUAGGCUGGCAGCUACAGCUCCAGUUCAACUCCUAACAUGGGAACCUCCAUAUGCCAUGGGUGUGGCCCUGAAAAGACAAAAAAAAAAAAAAAAA
RNAcentral lists this long non-coding RNA (5135 nucleotides) under Sus scrofa (pig). RNAcentral's name for it is "lncRNA (ENSSSCG00055023738.1)". Lineage: Eukaryota; Metazoa; Chordata; Mammalia; Artiodactyla; Suidae. The record is from RNAcentral.